This is a long non-coding RNA of Drosophila yakuba, 971 nucleotides long. RefSeq lists it as uncharacterized. The transcript is spliced from 4 exons. The record is from RefSeq and is a predicted model, not a curated record. NCBI's taxonomy places the organism in Eukaryota, Metazoa, Arthropoda, Insecta, Diptera, Drosophilidae.
UGGCCAGACCAAGAUUUGCCAGAUAGUAAAUUACUUUCUUUGUACGCGGACGUGUCGUGUCUGUGGCUUUACGGCCCCGGCGCGAGAGUGUAUAUAAAAAUGCAUAUCCCUUGGAAUGAAAUAGAUUUUACAACUUCAAAAAAAGGAUAAAAAUUGAAUGGUGAUGUGGUGUGUGGACUUGCUCCCGGGGGCAACACGCUAAUCAGGCGUUGCGGAGUGGGCCAAAUCAUUGUGUUUGCUGGAGAUUAGACAGGAAUACCAAAUAUUUACCAAAUGCGAUCAGUCAAGGCGCCAAACCAGGUCGUGCACGAAUUUCACCAAUGUUGGCAUCCAUUUCACAGUAAUUUGAUUUCUAGAAUUAAAGUUUCGAUGCAAUAAAUGUCCAACCAAGUUAGCUGGCAUGGCCAUAUCCGAUCGGCAAUGACUAGUAAAUCAAGUUAAAGUUCAACACAAUCAGAUGUGUACGCUAUUUUAUUGGGUUUAAUGCACAUUAAUGGACGCACAAUGGCUAUGAUAUCAUACCGGGAAUUGUGCGCCAAUUACUUGACUGCACUUGCACAAAGGCAACCAUUUCCAGCGAAAUAUGUUAUAUCCACCCGGGCCCAUUUAUGGCCAGACGAAAGCCCAGAAAUCGACUUGGCCCUUGGGGGAGAUGCGAUGAUGCCAAGAACCAUGAAAUGGGAAUGAAAAGCUUGAAUAUGCAUUAUUCCUUCGGCUGGCCGGCUAUCAACUGGCAAUCAGAAGUUGGCUGAGUGGAAAAAUCAAAUGUGUGAAGUGGCCGAGGGGGGAAUGAAAAGCGGUUGUGGUUACAAGGAAAAGCGUCUGAAAAGUUGGCUAUCCAUGAGCUAAAGUUUAUAAGGAGUUAAGCUGCACAUCUUAUCGUUCGAACUUGUUUCUAUAUUUAUUUUAUUAUCGACUUUUUUAUGUUAAAUAAUAUAUAUAAAUAUAUUGAAAUAUUUUCUCUGUGUAAA